RNAcentral lists this ribosomal RNA (510 nucleotides) under uncultured bacterium. RNAcentral's name for it is "partial 16S ribosomal RNA". It matches the Rfam family "Bacterial small subunit ribosomal RNA", at positions 28 to 507 of the family's 1533-position model. The record is from RNAcentral.
GACGAACGCUGGCGGCGUGCUUAACACAUGCAAGUCGAACGAAGAGCGAUGGAAGCUUGCUUCUAUCAAUCUUAGUGGCGAACGGGUGAGUAACGCGUAAUCAACCUGCCCUUCAGAGGGGGACAACAGUUGGAAACGACUGCUAAUACCGCAUACGAUCUAAUCUCGGCAUCGAGGAUAGAUGAAAGGUGGCCUCUACAUGUAAGCUAUCACUGAAGGAGGGGAUUGCGUCUGAUUAGCUAGUUGGAGGGGUAACGGCCCACCAAGGCGAUGAUCAGUAGCCGGUCUGAGAGGAUGAACGGCCACAUUGGGACUGGGACACGGCCCAGACUCCUACGGGAGGCAGCAGUGGGGAAUCUUCCGCAAUGGACGAAAGUCUGACGGAGCAACGCCGCGUGAGCGAUGACGGCCUUCGGGUUGUAAAGCUCUGUUAAUCGGGACGAAAGGCCUUCUUGCGAAUAGGGAGAAGGAUUGACGGUACCGGAAUAGAAAGCCACGGCUAACUACGUG